This is a long non-coding RNA of Aedes albopictus (Asian tiger mosquito), 317 nucleotides long. RefSeq lists it as uncharacterized. The record is from RefSeq and is a predicted model, not a curated record. The transcript has 3 exons. Lineage: Eukaryota; Metazoa; Arthropoda; Insecta; Diptera; Culicidae.
AUUAGUCUAAUGUUAAAUCUAAAAUUAAUUGUUCACAGUUAGAUCAGCAAAUGUGGUAACCUGCAAAGAUUUGCGCCGGCUCUAUUGAAACUAAAAUUACAUAAAUCCUAGAGCUGGUCGCGCAAAACUUAAUCCUAGAACCGAUCGAACCCGGUAAAAUACAGGAAACUUACAAACGUAAGUAAAGCCCAAAAUGUAAUCUAAAACAUAACCUAAACAUAUAAAUGUACUUAUUCUAGGAAAAUUUUAUUCGCUGCACCAGUCAGCGUGCUAAUAAACGAAUUAAGAUUUCGGAAAGUGUUUCCAUCGUUGCAUCU